UUCCCAGCUUUGCCAACUGGCUUAGAUCAAGUGUAGUAUCUGUUCUUUUCAGUUUAAUCUCUGAAAUGACACCACGUGUGUCUGACUUUGAUUAAAUUUAUUUUUGCACGCCGCUCGAGACUCUCUGUGCUUGCACGGAGCAUCUCGAGCACCGUGUCCGAGGCCUCACACUGCCGCCUUGUGACGCGAACAAAA
RNAcentral lists this small nuclear RNA (195 nucleotides) under Cladophialophora immunda. RNAcentral's name for it is "Cladophialophora sp. HB-2008 U2 spliceosomal RNA". It matches the Rfam family "U2 spliceosomal RNA". From Rfam's summary of the family: U2 is a small nuclear RNA (snRNA) component of the spliceosome (involved in pre-mRNA splicing). Lineage: Eukaryota; Fungi; Ascomycota; Eurotiomycetes; Chaetothyriales; Herpotrichiellaceae. The record is from Rfam by way of RNAcentral.